RNAcentral lists this ribosomal RNA (443 nucleotides) under uncultured bacterium. RNAcentral's name for it is "partial 16S ribosomal RNA". It matches the Rfam family "Bacterial small subunit ribosomal RNA", at positions 338 to 795 of the family's 1533-position model. The record is from RNAcentral.
CCUACGGGAGGCAGCAGUGGGGAAUAUUGGGCAAUGGGCGCAAGCCUGACCCAGCAACGCCGCGUGAAGGAAGAAGGCUUUCGGGUUGUAAACUUCUUUUCUCAGGGACGAAGAAAGUGACGGUACCUGAGGAAUAAGCCACGGCUAACUACGUGCCAGCAGCCGCGGUAAUACGUAGGUGGCAAGCGUUAUCCGGAUUUAUUGGGUGUAAAGGGCGUGUAGGCGGGAGCGCAAGUCAGAUGUGAAAACUCAGGGCUCAACCCUGAGCCUGCAUUUGAAACUGUGUUUCUUGAGUGCUGGGGAGGCAAUCGGAAUUCCGGGUGUAGCGGUGAAAUGCGUAGAUAGACGGAGGAACACCAGUGGCGAAGGCGGAUUGCUGGACAGUAACUGACGCUGAGGCGCGAAAGCGUGGGGAGCAAACAGGAUUAGAUACCCGUGUAGUC